CUGCAGCAUUCCAGGCGCAGUUCUGGCGCAUUUUGGCGCAUUUGGGACGCAAAACAGCCGAGUAUUACUGCUCCAAUGUGCGCUGGAAAUGCUUCAGCAUUCCAGUCGCACAUCCAACUCAUUCCAGACACACAAAAUAUUUUUUCUCUUGGUCAAACUUUGUGGGCUGACCCCACACAUCAGCCUAAGACAAUUUUAAACACUCAAAAUGAAACCAAAAGCAGCAACAUUCUCAAUUUCUCAUAACAAUUAAUGUCAAACGUCUCCUCUCUCUCUCAACUUUAAAAUUCCCUCUUUCUUGAACAUCAAUUGCUAAGCAACAAGUGAAAGAAUUAUUUUGGACUUGAUCUUCAUCUUUCUCCUCUAUUAAUUCAACAAAGGUAUGUCUUCAAGGAAAAACUUGCCACAAAAAACUAUUCAGGGAUGAUGAUUCACCCUUCAUAGCUGACUCGAUGAGAGGAGCCCAGUCUGACGAGGCUCCUAUUGAGACAGUACGGUCAUUCACCGACAGGGAUCCGAGCGCCUAGCGCUCCACAGGGAGUCUCUACCCUCCUCUACUUUCUUUUAUUUUCGCAUUGGGGACAAUGCAAUGUCUUUGGUGGGGGUGGGACACUUUUAUGUGAUCGGCACUUACUGUCUCAUUUUAUGAUAUAUGGUUUGAUAGAUUGUGGAGAUAUAUUCUAUUUUAUUAUGUUGAUGUUUAUGUACUAUAGUCGAUGUUUUAGUACGGUUAUGGCAUUUAAUUAAUUAGUUGCAUUGCUCUUGUCGCCCCCGUAUAUAUGUGUCCAAUAAACUCUAAGGGUUUUCUUCGAAACUCGAUUCUUUCCUAAGGAGCAAAAUUUUUAUUUUUAUUUCAAUCUUUUAUUUUUAUUUUUAAUAUAGUUUCUUUGUCGAACCGGGUGAUAAUUCACCCAUGAUGGAUUACAAGGUGACAUCUUUAGGUGAAAUAUCUAGACAUUUUGAUUAACUAGGAAGAAGCAAAAAUUCAAAAAUGCUUUCACAAUGUCAUUGGCAAGGAAUAAAUUAUUUUCGGAGAAAAAUCAAAAUUAUAGUUUUAAGAUCAAGGAUGUUUUGAGUUUUCUUUUGAGUGAGACCAUUAAACUCAAUUUUUAGCUCUUUCUUUACAAGGAUGAGUCGUUGACUCGGAGUAACUUAUGAAGCUCAAAUUGCUCAAAUUGGUUGGGAGACUAACUUUUUGCCCUAUGAGUACGAUGCCAUGAGUGGUGAGAUUUUUGAAUAAUUAUUGUGCAUAUGUAUAGUCUAGAACUUGCCCCGAGUGUAUUCAAAGCGAAAUUCUAGACGAGCUUGGGUUGGAGGAUGAUCCGAGGCCAUUUUUGACCCGUCACAUCGCCAAAUUCCCACCUUAACAUGGUUCCAUAGUUAACCCGUUUGAACCUUUUUGCCCAUCAUUCUUUCUUACUGUAACGAUAACCAUACUAAAACACCUAAAUCCCUUUGAAAAUAUCUCUUUUGGCACUUAACCUCCUUUGAUGCAUUGCAUGAUUCUAAAUAACUUAUUUUAGGCAAAAGCCUAAGUUUGGGGGGUUGUGUCGUUGGGAGAAAAUGAUCAAAAAGAAGACACGAAAGGUGUAUGUAAGGUUUCAUGUACUUAAAAGACAAGAGAUGUGUUUGAUGAUAAAGUUGUAUAGCCUAGCCCAUAGAAUGUGAAGAAAAAAAUGAGACAAAUGGGGGGCUAAGAAGAGUUCAAAGUUUGAAUUUCUCUUGAAGAAGUCAAAGAAAGAAAGAAAAUGGUGGCUCUGAAUUGUUUGGUAAAUAUUGAUCAAAAAGGUUGGGAAAAUGGAAAAUGAUUUAAAGAAGAGUAAGGUGGAUAAUUUGAAAAUUUUGGGGUAGGAAGGGGUUGAGAAAUUGCAUUGAAGAAUGUAUUUUAGUCACUUGAUCCAUAUGUAUUCCUUCCCGCACCUUAAACCUUCAUCUUGACCCGCAAGACCUUGGUGAUUCCAAACUAAGUCUACAUUAGUGGCGAAAAACACAAAGGGCAAGCCUAUGAUUCUAUUCGAUGUACUUGAAUUUCUUUAUGAGAGUGAGAGUAAAUUCUUUCUUCAUUUAAGCUUCUUUUAAGACUUGAAAUGUCUUUUGUGUGUGGAGCAAACUCUUGCAUGUGAGAGGUAUCGAUACUUUUGGGUAGAAAGUGAAUUUUACUAUCGAUUUGGGUAAAUGAGUGAAGUAAGUUGCAUUGUGAGGAUUGAGACAAUCUUUGGUGAUUUUGUGUCUUAUCUUAAGAUGCUUGGUGAUUUAGAAGUUCAUUUGAUACAAACUUGCAUCCUUACUUUAUAAAUAUGUGAUUAUUGAAAAUUUUUGGUUUACUUGAUGUCAUGACGUGUGGAAAGUGUUGUAGAGCUUUGUUAGCUUAUUCCUUUUGUAUAGUUUUCCUCUGGGUGGAAUUGAGUGAAAAUGCCUUAUCUCAUUGAAUUCUUCUUGGUUGCUUAAGGACAAGCAGUAGUUUAAGUUUGGGGGGUUGAUAAGUCAUCAAUUUGACGACUUAUUAGCACCUUUUAUGCCUAAAUUAUCAUGUUUUUCCAUUUAGGUGCUCUCGUACUUAAUGCUCAUUUAUGUAGGUAUAAUUAAAAAGAGAAGAUUGGAUAAGUCAUGCAAGUUAUUCAAGUCAUCAAGAGGUCAAAUGGAAGAAAAAGAAACAUCCGCUUUGGAUCCGCUCAAGUAGGUCAAGAAAUGAGUGGUAGUUUUGUAAUUUCCAUCAAAUGUAGAGGGGUUUAAAAGCAGGCUUUAGCCCUAUUUUUCAGACCUAAUUUUCUGUAUUGGGAGCAGCCUCCCUUGCAGUAUUUUUCAGCUUCUCUCUUCCCUUUUAUCAUCUAUUAUUCUACACUUCACCUUCCAUCUUUAGCUUAGGAUUUUUGUAAUUUUUUGGAGCUUGGAGCAAGACUUGUACUAAUUUUGAGCUAAGAAGACAUUAGAGUAACUUAUAAGUGUAGAUCUGGGUUCACCCAUUGAAGAUUCAUUGGAUCCUGAAGUGUGGUUUGCACUCUCUUUAUUUUCUUAUGAAUAACUUUGAUGGAAA
This is a long non-coding RNA of Capsicum annuum, 3034 nucleotides long. RefSeq lists it as uncharacterized. The record is from RefSeq and is a predicted model, not a curated record. NCBI's taxonomy places the organism in Eukaryota, Viridiplantae, Streptophyta, Magnoliopsida, Solanales, Solanaceae. The transcript is spliced from 2 exons.